GCUAUCGUGGCCAAGUGGUUAAGGCGAUGGACUAGAAAUUCAUUGUGGUCUCCCCGCACAGGUUCGAAUCCUGUCGACUGCA
This is a non-coding RNA of Ixodes scapularis (black-legged tick), 82 nucleotides long. The record is from Rfam. NCBI's taxonomy places the organism in Eukaryota, Metazoa, Arthropoda, Arachnida, Ixodida, Ixodidae.